AGAGCAGCACUUCAGGGGAAUCCUACGAGCCCGCCGCGUGGGUAAGAAGGCCUUGGGUUGUAAGCCCUGUAGGUGGGAAGAACCGCAGUCUGGCCAAUCCUGGACUGCUUGACGGUACCACCAAAGGAAGCACCGGCUAACUCCGUGCCAGCAGCCGCGGGAAAUAAAA
Molecule: ribosomal RNA, 169 nt
Filed under: uncultured bacterium
Lineage: Bacteria
Description: partial 16S ribosomal RNA
Source: RNAcentral